RNAcentral lists this long non-coding RNA (290 nucleotides) under Phoenix dactylifera (date palm). Its description in RNAcentral is "long non-coding RNA (PDAC_LNC011460)". The record is from RNAcentral. Lineage: Eukaryota; Viridiplantae; Streptophyta; Magnoliopsida; Arecales; Arecaceae.
AUUGGUUAGAUCGUCUUCAACUCUUGACUCGAUCAUGAGCACCCUUGGUCCAAUUGCGAUCAACUCCUUGAUCCAUCUCUAAUCAACCCUUGAUCUCGAUCCGCGCAAAUCGUGCUUGUAGAGGCAUGCACCGAUCAACCAUUGACGUGCAAACACAUCACAGAUUACAUCUCAGAUAACUUUAAAAAUAAAUAAAAUUAAAUAAUAGUUACAACCCUUUUUCAUGAGACACGCAGGUCUCUAAUACAUCAAUAUAAGAUGCACGCAGGCAUAUGAAAAUCUGAUUUACA